RNAcentral lists this ribosomal RNA (791 nucleotides) under uncultured bacterium. RNAcentral's name for it is "bacterial SSU rRNA". It matches the Rfam family "Bacterial small subunit ribosomal RNA", at positions 54 to 851 of the family's 1533-position model. The record is from RNAcentral.
CAUGCAGUCGACGCGAAGGGGAGCAAUCCCCGAGUAGAGUGGCGAACGGGUGAGUAAUACAUCGGAACGUGUCCAGUAGCGGGGGAUAACCUCUCGAAAGAGAGGCUAAUACCGCAUACGACCUACGGGUGAAAGAGGGGGAUCGCAAGACCUCUCACUAUUGGAGCGGCCGAUGUCGGAUUAGCUAGUUGGCGGGGUAACGGCCCACCAAGGCAACGAUCCGUAGCUGGUCUGAGAGGACGGCCAGCCACACCGGAACUGAGACACGGUCCAGACUCCUACGGGAGGCAGCAGUGGGGAAUUUUGGACAAUGGGCGAAAGCCUGAUCCAGCCAUGCCGCGUGAGUGAGGAAGGCCUUCGGGUUGUAAAGCUCUUUCGGCUGGGACGAAAAGGUCCGUGUUAACACCACGGAUCCAUGACGGUACCAGCAGAAGAAGCACCGGCUAACUACGUGCCAGCAGCCGCGGUAAUACGUAGGGUGCAGGCGUUAAUCGGAAUUACUGGGCGUAAAGCGUGCGCAGGCGGUUUGCUAAGAGAGAUGUGAAAGCCCCGGGCUUAACCUGGGAACUGCGUUUCUAACUGGCAAGCUUGAGUGUGGCAGAGGGGGGUGGAAUUCCACGUGUAGCAGUGAAAUGCGUAGAGAUGUGGAGGACACCGAUGGCGAAAGGCAGCCCCCUGGGCUAACACUGACGCUCAUGCACGAAAGCGUGGGGAGCAAACAGGAUUAGAUACCCUGUAGUCCACGCCCUAACUAUGUCAACUGGAUUGUCGGGGAGCAUUCUUGUACGAAG